AGAUGUGAUCAUAACAGCACUAACGCACCAGAUCCCAUCAGAACACCGAAGCUAAGCGUGCUUGGGCGAGAGUAGUACUAGAAUGGGUGACCCCAUGGGAAAUCCUCGUGUUGCAUCUC
Non-coding RNA from Nicotiana sylvestris (wood tobacco), 119 nucleotides. The record is from Rfam. NCBI's taxonomy places the organism in Eukaryota, Viridiplantae, Streptophyta, Magnoliopsida, Solanales, Solanaceae.